Long non-coding RNA from Molossus molossus (Pallas's mastiff bat), 127 nucleotides. RefSeq lists it as uncharacterized. The record is from RefSeq and is a predicted model, not a curated record. NCBI's taxonomy places the organism in Eukaryota, Metazoa, Chordata, Mammalia, Chiroptera, Molossidae. The transcript has 3 exons.
AGGAGGACAUGGGGAAUUCAGGAAAAUAUGCUGUCGCUGUUAACUUUGUGAGACUCUGAGAUGCUCUUGAGCUAUAUGGACAAAAAUAGUAAAGGAAAACAAAAACAGAAACAGAAAAACCAACCAG